AGUGAACGCUGGCGGUAGGCCUAACACAUGCAAGUCGAACGGCAGCACAGUAAGAGCUUGCUCUUACGGGUGGCGAGUGGCGGACGGGUGAGGAAUACAUCGGAAUCUACUUUUUCGUGGGGGAUAACGUAGGGAAACUUACGCUAGUACCGCAUACGACCUACGGGUGAAAGCAGGGGCUCUUCGGACCUUGCGCGAUUGAAUGAGCCGAUGUCGGAUUAGCUAGUUGGCGGGGUAAAGGCCCACCAAGGCGACGAUCCGUAGCUGGUCUGAGAGGAUGAUCAGCCACACUGGAACUGAGACACGGUCCAGACUCCUACGGGAGGCAGCAGUGGGGAAUAUUGGACAAUGGGCGCAAGCCUGAUCCAGCCAUACCGCGUGGGUGAAGAAGGCCUUCGGGUUGUAAAGCCCUUUUGUUGGGAAAGAAAAGCAGCAGGUUAAUACCCCGCUGUUCUGACGGUACCCAAAGAAUAAGCACCGGCUAACUUCGUG
Molecule: ribosomal RNA, 492 nt
Filed under: uncultured bacterium
Lineage: Bacteria
Description: partial 16S ribosomal RNA
Rfam family: Bacterial small subunit ribosomal RNA
Source: RNAcentral